AACGAACGCUGGCGGCAGGCCUAACACAUGCAAGUCGAGCGGCAGCGGGUCCCCGCGAGGGGAUGCCGGCGAGCGGCGGGCGGGUGAGGAACACAUCGGAAUCUGCCUGGUUGUGGGGGAUAACGUAGGGAAACUUACGCUAAUACCGCAUGCGACCCUGAGUCGACGGACUUGGGGUGAAAGUGAGGGACCUUCGGGCCUCACGCGACCAGAUGAGCCGAUGUUGGAUUAGCAGUUGGCGGGGUAACGGCCCGCCAAGGCGACGAUCCGUAGCUGUCUGAGAGGAUGAUCAGCCACACUGGGACUGAGACACGGCCCAGACUCCUACGGGAGGCAGCAGUGGGGAAGUCUUGGACAAUGGGCGCAAGCCUGAUCCAGCCAUGCCGC
Molecule: ribosomal RNA, 387 nt
Filed under: uncultured bacterium
Lineage: Bacteria
Description: bacterial SSU rRNA
Rfam family: Bacterial small subunit ribosomal RNA
Source: RNAcentral